GAUUCAGCUGUGGUCUACUCAGCAGUGAGAACUGAAGACGUCUGUUAUGGACAAACAACCAUCAGAACAAGGAGGCCCAGACUUUAAACCAGAGCCAGACGUCGUCUACUCUUCACUGAAGUAGUCCACCAGUCCAACCACUGAUGUCCAGCUGCUGGUCUCUAACUGGUCCCCCCAGCACCUCAGACCAGAG
Oreochromis aureus is the source of this 193-nucleotide long non-coding RNA. RefSeq lists it as uncharacterized. The record is from RefSeq and is a predicted model, not a curated record. The transcript is spliced from 2 exons. Lineage: Eukaryota; Metazoa; Chordata; Actinopteri; Cichliformes; Cichlidae.